UACGUAGGUGGCGAGCGUUGUCCGGAAUCAUUGGGCGUAAAGCGCGUGUAGGCGGCCCGGUAAGUCCGCUGUGAAAGUCCAGGGCUCAACCCUGGGAUGCCGGUGGAUACUGUCGGGCUCGAGUCCGGAAGAGGCGAGUGGAAUUCCUGGUGUAGCGGUGAAAUGCGCAGAUAUCAGGAGGAACACCAAUGGCGAAGGCAGCUCGCUGGGACGUGACUGACGCUGAGACGCGAAAGCGUGGGGAGCAAACAGG
RNAcentral lists this ribosomal RNA (253 nucleotides) under uncultured bacterium. RNAcentral's name for it is "partial 16S ribosomal RNA". It matches the Rfam family "Bacterial small subunit ribosomal RNA", at positions 524 to 776 of the family's 1533-position model. The record is from RNAcentral.